Molecule: transfer RNA, 78 nt
Filed under: Phaeodactylibacter xiamenensis
Lineage: Bacteria; Pseudomonadati; Bacteroidota; Saprospiria; Saprospirales; Haliscomenobacteraceae
Description: tRNA-Pro
Rfam family: tRNA
About the family: Transfer RNA (tRNA) molecules are approximately 80 nucleotides in length. Their secondary structure includes four short double-helical elements and three loops (D, anti-codon, and T loops).
Source: RNAcentral
CGGGAUGUAGCUCAGCCCGGUUAGAGUGCACGUCUGGGGGGCGUGAGGCCGGAGGUUCGAAUCCUCUCAUCCCGACAA